Molecule: ribosomal RNA, 536 nt
Filed under: Bacillus licheniformis
Lineage: Bacteria; Bacillati; Bacillota; Bacilli; Caryophanales; Bacillaceae
Description: bacterial SSU rRNA
Rfam family: Bacterial small subunit ribosomal RNA
Source: RNAcentral
AAUUUCUGACGGAGCACGCCGCGUGAGUGAUGAAGGUUUUCGGAUCGUAAAACUCUGUUGUUAGGGAAGAACAAGUACCGUUCGAAUAGGGCGGUACCUUGACGGUACCUAACCAGAAAGCCACGGCUAACUACGUGCCAGCAGCCGCGGUAAUACGUAGGUGGCAAGCGUUGUCCGGAAUUAUUGGGCGUAAAGCGCGCGCAGGCGGUUUCUUAAGUCUGAUGUGAAAGCCCCCGGCUCANCCGGGGAGGGUCAUUGGAAACUGGGGAACUUGAGUGCAGAAGAGGAGAGUGGAAUUCCACGUGUAGCGGUGAAAUGCGUAGAGAUGUGGAGGAACACCAGUGGCGAAGGCGACUCUCUGGUCUGUAACUGACGCUGAGGCGCGAAAGCGUGGGGAGCGAACAGGAUUAGAUACCCUGGUAGUCCACGCCGUAAACGAUGAGUGCUAAGUGUUAGAGGGUUUCCGCCCUUUAGUGCUGCAGCAAACNCAUUAAGCACUCCGCCUGGGGAGUACGGUCGCAAGACUGAAACUCAAA